RNAcentral lists this ribosomal RNA (566 nucleotides) under uncultured bacterium. RNAcentral describes it as "partial 16S ribosomal RNA". It matches the Rfam family "Bacterial small subunit ribosomal RNA", at positions 355 to 914 of the family's 1533-position model. The record is from RNAcentral.
UGGGGAAUUUUGGACAAUGGGGGAAACCCUGAUCCAGCCAUCCCGCGUGUGCGAUGAAGGCCUUCGGGUUGUAAAGCACUUUUGGCAGGAAAGAAACGUCGCGGGUUAAUACCCCGCGAAACUGACGGUACCUGCAGAAUAAGCACCGGCUAACUACGUGCCAGUAGCCGCGGUAAUACGUAGGGUGCAAGCGUUAAUCGGAAUUACUGGGCGUAAAGCGUGCGCAGGCGGUUCGGAAAGAAAGAUGUGAAAUCCCAGAGCUUAACUUUGGAACUGCAUUUUUAACUACCGGGCUAGAGUGUGUCAGAGGGAGGUGGAAUUCCGCGUGUAGCAGUGAAAUGCGUAGAUAUGCGGAGGAACACCGAUGGCGAAGGCAGCCUCCUGGGAUAACACUGACGCUCAUGCACGAAAGCGUGGGGAGCAAACAGGAUUAGAUACCCUGGUAGUCCACGCCCUAAACGAUGUCAACUAGCUGUUGGGGCCUUCGGGCCUUGGUAGCGCAGCUAACGCGUGAAGUUGACCGCCUGGGGAGUACGGUCGCAAGAUUAAAACUCAAAUGAAUUGAC